UGCAGUCGACGGCAGCACAGUGGUAGCAAUACCAUGGGUGGCGAGUGGCGGACGGGUGAGGAAUACAUCGGAAUCUACUUUUUCGUGGGGGAUAACGUAGGGAAACUUACGCUAAUACCGCAUACGACCUCCGGGUGAAAGCAGGGGACCUUCGGGCCUUGCGCGAUUAAAUGAGCCGAUGUCGGAUUAGCUAGUUGGCGGGGUAAAGGCCCACCAAGGCGACGAUCCGUAGCUGGUCUGAGAGGAUGAUCAGCCACACUGGAACUGAGACACGGUCCAGACUCCUACGGGAGGCAGCAGUGGGGAAUAUUGGACAAUGGGCGCAAGCCUGAUCCAGCCAUGCCGCGUGGGUGAAGAAGGCCUUCGGGUUGUAAAGCCCUUUUGUUGGGAAAGAAAAGCAGUCGGCCAAUACCCGAUUGUUCUGACGGUACCCAAAGAAUAAGCACCGGCUAACUUCGUGCCAGCAGCCGCGGUAAUACGAAGGGUGCAAGCGUUACUCGGAAUUACUGGGCGUAAAGCGUGCGUAGGUGGUGGUUUAAGUCCGUUGUGAAAGCCCUGGGCUCAACCUGGGAAUUGCAGUGGAUACUGGGUCACUAGAGUGUGGUAGAGGGUAGCGGAAUUCCCGGUGUAGCAGUGAAAUGCGUAGAGAUCGGGAGGAACAUCUGUGGCGAAGCGGCUACCUGGACCACACUGACACUGAGGCACCGAAAGCGUGGGGAGCAACCGGAUUAGAUACCCUGGUAGUCCCCGCCCU
This 754-nucleotide ribosomal RNA is filed under the name Xanthomonas translucens. RNAcentral describes it as "bacterial SSU rRNA". It matches the Rfam family "Bacterial small subunit ribosomal RNA", at positions 56 to 803 of the family's 1533-position model. The record is from RNAcentral. Lineage: Bacteria; Pseudomonadati; Pseudomonadota; Gammaproteobacteria; Lysobacterales; Lysobacteraceae.